This is a non-coding RNA of Drosophila melanogaster (fruit fly), 704 nucleotides long. The record is from Ensembl. Lineage: Eukaryota; Metazoa; Arthropoda; Insecta; Diptera; Drosophilidae.
UAACUAUUCAGUUCAGUUUCAGUUAGAGUACUUGAGUACCGCUCUCGACGACGCUGCGCUUUCACACCGACUGAACGCUGAGUCGGCGCGGCGACUCCAUUUAUACGCUGCUAACGAUCGAUCGCCACUCAAACACGCUCCGUGCUCGCACGCUCCAAAAUACGUCACCGGAGAUUUCAGCCAACUAGCCAACGGGCCAGCUAGUCAGCAGGCACUCCAUGAAAAGCACUCUCCACUGCAAAAUCCGGCGGACAGAGAAAUUCCCCAGAACCAGACCACUUGCCCGGUUCGUGGACAGCCCGUGGGGUGGGCGUUGUGGCAGAGAUAUCCGUAAAAUCGAAUCUUAUCGAAGUCAUCUUUAGAUUACCCGACUUGUCAGGGACUCCGUGUACGAAGUGUACAUAUGUACGCGUAGAUGGGAAAGACAUCGCGCCCAAGUCAAGUGGCCGGACCUCGCACCCAAUCAAAGGAGGCUCAUUUGUUGAUCUUGACAUAAUGAUAUAUUCUAUGGUAUCAAUCCCGAGGGCGAUGCGAACGGCAUGCAAUCCACCAGCCGCACCGAAAUGGGCCAAUGGAAAAUUUACAGCCGGCUAACUGGGGGUCUUCAGCUUUGCGAGUGAAUGAAACUUUUUUGGUAAACACAGAUUGAAUUAUUGGGCGUCAAGGGAAACCCCGAUCAACAAAAAAUAAAAUACGAAAAAUAC